This 303-nucleotide unclassified non-coding RNA is filed under the name Hevea brasiliensis (rubber tree). Lineage: Eukaryota; Viridiplantae; Streptophyta; Magnoliopsida; Malpighiales; Euphorbiaceae. The record is from RNAcentral.
GGGAUAUGCUUAGAACUUUCUAAAUGACUCCUAUAUUGUUUCUCACUUGUUGCUACCAACUCAGAAACAUCAUGUUCCGAAGGCAUUAUAAUAUGCACAACAUCUCCAUCCAUGCCCCAUGAAUCAACCAUUGCACCUCCACCAAGCAAUAAUUGCACGUGCAGACUUCUUUUGGGCCUCUUCCAAGAUCCUUCUGUUUCAGAAACUCUAACGGUAACAAUUGAAGAUUGAAGUUCAGCAACAUAACGUGUAAGCAGAAAUCCACCCUUGGUGAAUUCGUAUCCAUCACCAUCAUCUUCAAAU